This 2645-nucleotide long non-coding RNA is filed under the name Ovis aries (sheep). RNAcentral describes it as "lncRNA (ENSOARG00000026510.1)". The record is from RNAcentral. Lineage: Eukaryota; Metazoa; Chordata; Mammalia; Artiodactyla; Bovidae.
CGGGGGGCCCGGGGCGAGGUGCGGAGUUUUCGCCCCCCCCCCCCCCCCCCGCCGAGUCAAUAAUUCCAGGAGACUCGGACACAUCUUUGCCCCAGCUUCCUUUUCCCCGUCCCCGCGCCUUCCCAACACCGAAUCCUAACCUCUCUGUAGACCAAAAUCUUUAAUUUUACUAUCCUUUAAAAAAAAGUCAAAGGCCAACUUCUAAAAGGAGCCGGGAGCGUUGGAGACGCCGAGGGGGUCGGCGGGCGGGACGCGCCGCAGUGUCUGUCUCUGGCUGUCAGAAAUGCAGUAAGCCGAAAUUUAAAUGCCCUUUUCCAGACAGGAAAAAGUCAGCGGCUGCGGAGCUCUCUUCGCUCAAACAUGCAAUGUGUAAUUCUUACUCCAAGGAGUUCAGGAUGUAAAGGGUUUUCUGUCAACCGCGAAGCAUACCCUUCUCCCCGACAAAAGGCAAAAAAGCAAUUAAUGCAAUAAAGCAUGAAUGUCCACCCGGCCGGGGUCAGCGUCCAUCUAAGGCGAGCAAAAACCUCUAAAGGCUACUUUCAGAAAACGCACCCCCGGUUUCCCUCUGCCUUCCUCUCUCUUCCCAUCUUGACAAGUCACUGUACCCCGACCCAGUUCUGGUUCCUCUCCACCCCACCCCGACCAGCCACAACUACUCUGAGAAAAGUGUCAAUAGCGCAGGAAUGGGAGAAAAGACACUCGAUUCGGGCGUUCUGCUCAUCGCGGCGUUAAGGCGGUAGCAAAAAUAAAUGAAAAAGGCCAAUAGGUCCGGGUGCUCACCCGUAUUUCCACUAUCCGAAGGAAAUCUAGCGUCCAAAAAGCGGCGAGGAGCGCCUUUCAGAGGCGCGGGUCGUGGGCUGCGGCGAGGGAAAGUGUCUCCCCAAAAAGGCAGAAGAGCUUCUCUGCGUCCGGGGAGUCUUGGUGUCGCUCGGGUGUUCGCUGUGUUGGACAAACCGCAUACUUGUCCUGUGUUCUUAAAUCAUCUGGGGGCAGAACCGCUCAUCCCUCGAUGCUGAGAAUACACCGUGUACCCACGGCUGCGCCAUGCACGUCCCGGGUGGACAGGCCGGGAAGGGGCAGCCUUUGGAAAAUAACUCCUACGAAGAGAGGAGGAAAGAAGGGGUAUUGAUGGGCGUGCGCUCUGAGUGUGUGUGUGCUGGGGGGUUAAGUGUCGAUGGGAUACAUGAUCAAAGGUAUGGGGAAGAAAAAUGGUGCCUGGAAUUACUAAAAUAAUUCAGCAACGCGCUGCCACGUAUACUUGGAGAGCGCGGUAUGAAUAAACACCCAUUGCAUUUGUUGGGGGUGUUAUGCAUUCUGGGUGUGCGCAGCUUUCUCGACUGCGCACCUUCCACCCACAAUGAAUCCCCCGAUUGCUGCCAAAGUCGCAGAGGACCCCCACUCCUGGCUCUGCCCGCGCAGACCUACACGGAUCUCCGUGGGGGCCAGCGUUCCUCCUGCCCCUCCCCCCACCCAGUACGCGCUAAUCCCUGAGAUCUUUCUGCGGGCUCCAGAGCUGGAAUAAGGGAGGAGCGCGCCUGCGGGUGCGCGCCGCGGGGGACCACCCCCGUCCCUCUAAACCCCCACCCCACCCCCGCGCCUCUCUCUCGGAGUUCCCAAUUCCGCAGCCAGGUUUCAGAAGAGAGACGAAUCCUCUUUGCGCCCCGUGGCGCCGGUUUGCACCACUCUGGGGCUCCCAGGUUUGGGGAAAAAUAGAAGGCGCUAGACGGGAGGAUACAGCCCGGGGGAGGGGGGCGAGAGCCUCAGGACCAGACUCCCCAGAAGAGGGAAGGGGGCGAGCCGGAGGAUCCUGCCUGGGGAGUCUGCAGAGUCCCCGGUGAGGAAAACCGUUAACUCUUUCCUGCUAGGACAAACCGAACGUUGACUUCCUUUCUGGGUCUGCUUUUCUCUUUAUCAUUGGGCUCGAAAUCACACACACACACACACACACACACACACAAUGCAUCGAUUCUCAUCUAAGGAGAGGAGCCAAGUAUUACUUCCGUUUCUUGGGGGGUGUGCUGGCAGUGUCUUGAGCCAAUUAAAAAUUGGCCGAAUUUCAGGCAUUGAUUUCCUAGUUCACUGACUCUUAAAUUUUUUCUGAAUACCAUAGUGAAGUGUGUAUGUAUAAUAGAAUCCACGUACAUCUGUAUACUUUUCAUGUUCACGUCAGCCUAGAAUUUUGCCCAACACGACACAUGAUUUGUUCACUCCCUCAAUGAAUCUAUAUUUAAUAUAUAAUGCAUAUCCCCUCGGGAUUUACUAGUUUGCAUUAUACAGAGGCGAUCUAUCCCAGCCCCAGUCCCUCAUCCAAGGGCGUUAUAACUUUUCCACGCCCCUUCCCCCUCCUUCCAAAAGUGAAAAAAAUUUGGAACGGGGAGGGCUCGCCUAUGUCAUGCCUGUGUUUGAGAUAAAUUAUUACCCGUUGAGUUUGCUGCUCGGCAUUCGAUUGUUAAAAGAGUAGUAACUUCCUCCAAAUCAGGCACAAGGCACAAGUCGGUUUUAAUGACUGCAAAUUGCUCCAGCCUCCAGGUCUUUGCCGCAAACGCAAGUGACCAAUCCCUAGCCAGAGUUUUGCCGCAAAGCGUCUUUCCCUGCCCCCUCCCAGAGCUGCACCCGCGCCCCAGGUUUCGAAAGUUAAAGGAAGG